GCUGGGUAUGGUGGCAUGUGCCUAUAGUCCCAGCUACUCAGGAGGCUGAGGCAGGAGGAUUGAUGAGUCCAGGAGUUCUGGAAGGUAGUUCACUAUGUCUGUUGUGUGUCUUCACUAAGUUUUGCAUCUAUAUGGUGACCUCCUGGGAGUUGGGGACCGACCACUAGGUUACCUAAGGAGGGACAAACCAAAUUGGAAAUGGCGAAGGUCAAAACUCCCAUACUGAUCAGUAGUGGAGUGGAACCUGUGAGUAGCCACUGCACUCUAGCCUGGGCAACAUAGUGAGACCCUUUCUCU
Molecule: signal recognition particle RNA, 297 nt
Filed under: Cebus imitator (Panamanian white-faced capuchin)
Lineage: Eukaryota; Metazoa; Chordata; Mammalia; Primates; Cebidae
Description: Metazoan signal recognition particle RNA (ENSCCAG00000014141.1)
Rfam family: Metazoan signal recognition particle RNA
About the family: The signal recognition particle (SRP) is a universally conserved ribonucleoprotein.
Source: RNAcentral